This is a microRNA precursor of Nicotiana attenuata, 96 nucleotides long. It matches the Rfam family "MIR6152 microRNA precursor family". NCBI's taxonomy places the organism in Eukaryota, Viridiplantae, Streptophyta, Magnoliopsida, Solanales, Solanaceae. The record is from Rfam.
UGGACAGAUUAUUGUAUUCGACUGUAUUCACGGCGUGAAACAGGGGAUUACACCGUUUUUAAAUGGAAAGUGAAUCAAUUAACAUAAUAGACUCCU